Molecule: long non-coding RNA, 1484 nt
Filed under: Homo sapiens (human)
Lineage: Eukaryota; Metazoa; Chordata; Mammalia; Primates; Hominidae
Description: HSALNT0350120
Source: RNAcentral
CUGAGACCUCUAUAAAUGUCCCUUCUUUUCCUUCUCUUUAGAAUUCCAGUUGCAUCUGGAUGUGCCUUCUGCUUCCUACUGGGACCCUACCAGGCACAGUCUGCGAUGAGAAAAGGAGCUUGUACCAGAAUCAGCCUGCCUUGGCCUCCCAAAGUGCUGAGAUUGCAGCCUCUGCCUGGCCGCCACCCCGUCUGGGAAGUGAGGAGCAUCUCCGCCUGGCCGCCCAUCAUCUGGGAUGUGAGGAGCCCCUCUGCCUGGCUGCCCAGUCUGGAAAGUGAGGAGCGUCUCUGCCUGGCCGCCAUCCCAUCUAGGAAGUGAGGAGCGCCUCUUCCCGGCCACCAUCACAUCUGGGAAGUGAGGAGCGUCUCUGCCCGGCCGCCCAUCGUCUGAGAUGUGGGGAGCACCUCUGCCCUGCCGCCCCGUCCGGGAUGUGAGGAGCGUCUCUGCCUGGUCGCCCCGUCUGAGAAGUGAGGAGACCCUCUGCCUGGCAACCGCCCCGUCUGAGAAGUGAGGAGCCCCUCCGCCCGGCAGCCGCCCCGUCUGAGAAGUGAGGAGCCCCUCCACCCAGCAGCCACCCCGUCUGGGAGCCUGCACUCACCACUGGAACAUGUGGCGAAAGGAAAAAGGGACAAAGGAUGAAGGCAGCUGGCGGUAGGCUGGGUAGAUGCAGAAGGACCAUUCUGCCCUGUAAGAAGUGUGUGCUUUAUCCUGGGAGCAAUGAAAAGUCACUGAAGGAAGUUGGGCAGGAAAGAAGCAUGUUCAGAUUUGGUUUUCAAAAAGUCAUUCAAUCUGGAGUAUCCACAGUGGUGGCAGAGGAACCAAAGAGGGAACAGUUACAGCGACCCUGAAGAAAGAUGCUAAUGCCCAGAUAAAAAGAUAUUAAGGCUGGAGAAAGGAACCUGCUUCAGUGGUUGAGACUAGAACCUGGAAGAGAACUGGCUUAUGGCACUUACUUGCCUUAUUAACCUCCUUGAGCAUUUGUUUCUUUAUCAGUAAAACAAGGGUAAUAAUGGUACCUAUUCCAUAGAGUUUGUAUGAAGAUAAAAUAAAAUCUCACAUUUAAAAAGUUUUAUGUCUGGCUCACGGUGUGUGCUCACAGCGUAAGUGUCAACUAUUGUUAUUGUUGAAGAACUGUUGAGAACACUUAGGGACAACAAUAGUCAGGGUAGACUAAAGUGCCGUAGCUGAAAUCCUCAAAUUCGUAAUGGUUAAAACACAACAGGAUUUUAUUUUCUCAUAUACAUGGGAGUCCAAGGUGAGAGUCUCAGAUUUACAGACAGUCGCCUCCACAUGGUGAUUUAGGGCCCCUGGUGACUCCAGGGUCACCUGGAACUUUGUUAUUCUCUUCAUCCAGCCUGAGGAAAGGAAAAGGAUACAUCCACGUUUUUUGUUUUUUUGAGACGGAGUCUCACUCUGUCACCCAGGCUGGAGUGCAGUGCCGCGAUCUCGGCUCACUGCAAGCUCCGCUUCCCGGGUUCACGCCA